RNA transcript from Bubalus bubalis (water buffalo), 7686 nucleotides. It is a transcript of the gene named TIA1 cytotoxic granule associated RNA binding protein, with no coding region annotated. The transcript has 14 exons. The record is from RefSeq and is a predicted model, not a curated record. Lineage: Eukaryota; Metazoa; Chordata; Mammalia; Artiodactyla; Bovidae.
UCCCUGGCUGCUCCAAGGCUCCCGGCUCGCCGCCAUCUUGUAUUGGGGCUUCAUUGUUCGCGUUGGGCCCGGCAGUUGAGUGUAAUUGCCGCCGAAGAAGGAGGCGGGGUAACCUCCGGUCAGCCGAGAAACCCGGCUACCCCUCAGCCAUAGCCGGUCAAAAGAUUUGUGAGGUAGUAAAGGGUAGGGAGCUGGACCUGGAGGCGCCGCCGCGACAGCAGCAGCCAUGGAGGACGAAAUGCCUAAGACUCUAUACGUUGGUAACCUUUCCAGAGAUGUCACAGAAGCUCUAAUUCUCCAGCUCUUUAGCCAGAUUGGACCUUGUAAAAACUGCAAAAUGAUUAUGGAUGUAAGGACAGCCGGAAAUGAUCCAUAUUGUUUUGUGGAGUUUUAUGAGCAUCGUCAUGCAGCUGCAGCACUUGCUGCUAUGAAUGGGCGGAAGAUAAUGGGUAAGGAAGUCAAAGUGAAUUGGGCAACAACUCCCAGCAGUCAAAAGAAAGACACAAGCAGUAGUACCGUUGUCAGCACACAGCGUUCACAAGAUCAUUUCCAUGUCUUUGUUGGUGAUCUCAGUCCAGAAAUUACAACUGAAGAUAUAAAAGCUGCUUUUGCACCAUUUGGAAGAAUAUCAGAUGCCCGAGUGGUAAAAGACAUGGCGACAGGAAAGUCUAAGGGAUAUGGCUUUGUCUCCUUUUUCAACAAAUGGGAUGCUGAAAACGCCAUUCAACAGAUGGGUGGCCAGUGGCUUGGUGGAAGACAAAUCAGAACUAACUGGGCAACCCGAAAGCCUCCAGCUCCAAAGAGUACAUAUGAGUCAAACACCAAACAGCUAUCAUAUGAUGAGGUCGUAAAUCAGUCCAGUCCAAGCAACUGUACUGUGUACUGUGGAGGCGUCACUUCCGGGCUGACAGAACAACUAAUGCGUCAGACUUUUUCACCAUUUGGACAAAUAAUGGAAAUUCGAGUCUUUCCAGAUAAAGGAUAUUCUUUUGUUCGGUUCAAUUCCCAUGAAAGUGCAGCACAUGCAAUUGUUUCUGUUAAUGGAACUACCAUUGAAGGCCAUGUUGUGAAAUGCUACUGGGGCAAAGAAACUCUCGAUAUGAUAAAUCCUGUGCAACAGCAGAAUCAAAUUGGAUAUCCACAAGCUUAUGGCCAGUGGGGCCAGUGGUAUGGGAAUGCACAACAAAUUGGCCAGUAUAUGCCUAAUGGUUGGCAAGUACCUGCAUAUGGAAUGUAUGGCCAGCCGUGGAACCAGCAAGGAUUUAAGGACAGCUCUUCCCUGAAUUCUUAUAUUUCUUAGCUGCAUUUGCUUCAUUAGAUUUUUAAAAUUUACAUUGGAAUGUCAGUGUAUUAUUUUCAACUGCUUUAUGGGAACAUUUUCUUGUGAGUUUUCUCCGGGGAAACUCUGGGUAAGUUUUGCUGUCUUUCUUAUUUUUAAUUACAGUAUCUUGGUACAAAUGCUGUGCUUACAUCUUUCUGUUUAUUCAUAUUUGAAAUGGUUGGUUUUUUCUAGACCAAGUACCAGCAGGAGGAUGAAGGGGAAAGAACCUGUCAGGGUUUCUUACCUCCCUUCUCUGUGGCUGCAAUGAAUUGUCUGCUUAAAAGUGUAGACAUGGUUCCUCUCUGGGAUGAGGCCCUGUUCAGAAGUUCUGUGCCAGCUGAGCACCCUUGAUUGCUUCAUGUGCUCCAUUAAGUGACAAAACUCUUGUCUUCAAGGAGAUCCCCUAACUUGCUUUCUGAAAGACAUCUCCUCUGGAUCCUUUAGGCACUUAACACAUCUUCCCUCCCUGCCUCUUCCAGUACUCACAUACUAGUUCAGUCCUUCUGACAGCUGGCUCCACUCACGGUUUGGCUCUCAGACUGAAUAUUUGCAAGUGAUUUCUGAGGUCUGCCACUACUGGCCCCCUCCUCACUCCCUGUCCUUCCCCCACAACACUCAGUUGGCCUCCCAUCCAGUACCACACUUCUUCUCAAUGUGGAAUGUGUUGAGUUUUCUCUGUAUCCCUGGCUUCACUUAAGAUACUGUUUGUGGGAGUUGGUGGUCAUAGGUUUUCCUUAUUGUUCCCUGUGGUUUCCAGGAGAAGGGUAAAGAUCCAGGUACCAGACUACUAACCUUUCUGCCAGAAUCAGAAGCCCAAAGGAAUCUUUUAUAGAUGUAGAUCUGAUCAUGACUCUUCCCUUCUUGAAAGUCUUUGCUUCAGAUUAUAUUUAGGAUGUAAUCUAAAAUCUUUGGAAAAGACCAUGAUGCUGGGAAAGAUUGAGGGCAGGAGGAGAAGGGGGCAACAGGAUGAGAUGGUUGGAUGGCGUCAUCGACUCAGUGGACAUGAGUUUGAACAAACCUGGGAGAUGGUGACAAACAGGGAAGCCUGGCAUGCAGCAGUCCAUGGGGUCACAAAGAGUCUGACAUGACUGAGAAACUGAAAAACAACGACCAAAAUCUUUAAUACAGCCUGCAGUUGUCUUCUAAAGUAGUCUGUGUUUACCCAACUUCACUGCAAGCCACUUUAUAUAUCAGAAUCCCAUCAGGAGACAGAGACCACCACUAAAAUUUGAAAAGGGAAAUUUUAGUGUAAAUAGUGAAAAAUGGUUAAUCCCUAGAAGGAGUCCAAAAAUUGCAAGUGCAAAAAGAAAAAAAAGCUACUACUUCUGAGCAGAGUGGACAGUGCUAAGGGUUUAGGAGAGCACUUGAAGUUUCUAACCUCUUCAAAGUGGGCUUGAUUCUCGCAGGAACCUGCAGCCUGGUAAGAAACAUGCCAGAAGGUGUGGGCCAGACCUGUUCCUUAGAAGCUGCCUACCAUUGGCCAGAGUUGAUCUCCAGAAAUGGUCCACCAGGUGAGGGAGCUAGGGUUGCCAGAUUUAGCAAGUGAAAGCACAGUCCCAAAUACUACAUGAAACAAACUAAAAGUUAUAUGAUGUUUAACUGGAAUCCACGUUUAACUGGGUGUCCUGUAUUUUAUCUGUCAGCCUUUGACGGUGCUACAGGCUGGUGCAUCCAAAGCUGCCAUAGAAGCAGCUGCAAGUGAGGAAAAGUGUAGCCUGAGGGUGCAGCAGGGGCAGGUCCAGAGAACCACUGAAGGGAGCACCCCUGGGUCUUCUGUACACUGAUCCAUUGAAUUGCACACUGAAUACAAAGAUUGAACCAGAACCUGUAAGGAACAUUCCCUCCUGUCAUUGCCUUGCAUGUUCCUCUAGGUCCCUCUGUUGGCAGAGCCUAAUAUUGAGCCAGCUGGCGCAGGUGAAAUGCUUUACAAAGCAGGGCAUAGCAGAGUGGAUUGGGGAUCAGAACUCCCACUGCAGAGCCCUGCCAUGUGAAUGCCUUUUGUCUGUCUGCUGUUUGUCUUCAGCUCUCCACUUAAAUGUCUCUUCCUCUAAAACGUCUUCCUUUCUCUACCCACAGUCUAAAUCAGGAGCCUCUCUAGUCAUCUUAUAGUUUCCCUUUAGAACAUCUGUCAUAAUUUUAAAUUAUGUAUUUAUGUGAUUAUAUCUUUAAAACUAUGUUCCCCAUUAAAAGUUGGUGACUGUUUUCUUCAGUGCUGUAUAUAUACCCUGUAGGUAGUAAAUCAUUUAAUUAAUUUAAUUAUCUCGAUCUCAUUUUAAACAAAUGGCUUUCUGCUGUGUGCUGAUAAAAUACUGGGUUUGAGGUGAUAAGAGCUAAAACUAAAGGACCAUACCAGGGCCAAUUCUAUGAGAUCUACCUUCCAAAAUGUGGGGUGUAGGCACAUAAGACAUUCAGGUAGAAAUAUCCAGUAGACAAUGUUGUAGAAUUUGGAAGGGAGAUCCAGACUGGAAUAGAGAUGGGAGUCAUCAGCAUUUAGGUGGUAGUUCAACCCAAGGAGUGGCAGUCACCCAGAGAGACAGUAGAGUGAGAAGAGGCCUGAGGACAGAACUCUUAGGUCUAUCUUGUAUGGAAGGGGGCAGAGACAGCUAAGCUUGCAAAGGAGAAUGAGGAACAGCUGCCUGACAGGGGAGAAAUACUGAAGGCCCAUAAUGUUGCAGAGAUCAGGAAGGAAACCACUCAAGGAAAUAGUAGUCAAGGGUCAAGUGUGGCAGAGGGGGAAAAUGUUCACUGGAUUUAGCAAUAAAGAAGUAACUGGUGACUUUAAAAACUAACACUUUCAGUGAAACAGUAGGAACAAAAUGUGGAUGCAGUGGGUUAGGGAGUGGGAGGUGGAGAUGUUUAGUGCAGACUGCCUUCCUGAUUUAGUGGGCUGUAGAGAAAAGGAAGCAGAGAGGAAGGAGCAGAUAGAUUUAAGAAAGCAAUAAUUUUUUUAACAUCUCAAGACAAUAAAUUAUGAAUAAAUCACAAAGGUAAGUAAAUGAUCACCAAAAACAAAACCUCUACUGUUCACCCAUUUGGAAAUACACAACAAAAAAAUACCUCUGUUUUAUAUAAAAAAACUGGAACAGCAGUUCAAGAAUGUGUUUGUGUGCAUGUGUGUACUAUUUCUCUAGGAUACUUAGAAUUGAGAGAUGGAUUAAAGAAUUUAAAGUGUAAAAAUUGUAUGAUACAUAUUGUCAAAUUGCCCUCUUAAAAGUUGUAUCAUUUUACACUCCAACCAAAAAUGUCUGAAAGCACCCAUUUGCCCCGCUUUUACCAAUGCUGAUUGUUAUUAAGCUUUCAUUUUUGCCAAUCUGAGACAUGUAAAAUGAUCUCUUCUAUUUCCCUGAUUGCAAGUAAAGUUAGUGAUUUUUUUCCCAUGGUAAUUGGUUGUUUGUGUUUCUUUUCUGUGACUUUUCUGUUCAUGUCCUUUGUCCGUUUGACCUCCAAGGACUUAGACAUAGUGAUUGUAUAUUGAAUAAUAAAUAACUACUAAAUAAAUAAGCCCAUGCACCUAGAGCCUGUGCUCCACUACAAGAGAAGCCACCGCAAUGAGAAGCCUGUGCACCACAAUUAGAAGCCCCCACUCACCACAACUAGAGAAAUGCCCUCGGAGCAACGAGACCCAGUACAGCCAAAAAAUAUAUAUAUAUAUAUUUUUUAAAGAAAUAUGAUCAUAGUAUCUUAUGUUAAGUGACAAAAGCAAGUUGCAGGAAAAAGAUAAAUUUAUCUUUGAAAGUAAUAGAGAAAGUUUUGGAAACAAUAUUUUUUGAACUAGACAUCUUUCUUAACUAAGUAUAAUUAGAGUGAAAGCUAGGCUCAUGCAAAUGGAGAAACUAGAAACAUUCUUAAGGUCAGGAAGACAAGGCUAUCUACUAUUACCUUAUUAAUUAUUUCCAGGACUUACCUGGUUGUCCAGUGGUUAAGAAUCCACCUUCUAAUGCAGGAGACACAGGUUUGAUCCCUGAUCAGGGAACUAAGAUCCCACAUGCCUAGGGGCAACUAAACCCACACUCUGCAACUGCUGAGUCCAUCCACUCUAGAGCCUGUGCUCCCCAAGAGAAGCCUACACGCUGCAAUGAAGACCCAGGAGAGCCAAAGAAGAAAGAAAAAUAAAAAUCCCAAACUUAUGACAAUUAGAAAAAUACUAUAAAAACAAUGAGAGAAUUAAGUGGGUAAAAAAAUAUUAGCAUACUGAAAUAAAGAAGGCCCUUAUUUGUAUAAAGCCCUUAUUUGAAGAAGGAAUUGAAGAACCUAGCAUGCCUGGCUUGGAAGAAAGAAACCUCUUUUAGAAUGAGGUUGUUUGAAACAUAUAAUGUGUAUCAGCUGAAAACCCACAGAUCUCUUAGGAUGCAUUUGGGCAAUUCCAUUGGAAAAAAAUUUUAAACACUCUCUCUUUACAACAGAGUCUCUUUAAUUGUGACACUAUUAACAUUUUGGUCCAGAUAACUCUUUGUUGUAAGGGAUGUCCUGUGCAUUGGAGGAUCUUCAACACCUAUGGCAUCUACUAGAUGUGUAAGCAGUGCUCCCAGCUGAGAACAACUGCUUUGUGUAAUCACUUGGCACUAAUACAAUCAUAAACACAACCAGACGUGGGUGAUCAUUUAGAUGAUCCAGGAUAUACUUAAAAAAAUUUCUUUUUGGCUGCACAGGCUGUUCAUUGUAUAGUGUGGACUUUGUCUAGUUGUGGUUUGUGGGCUUCUCUCUUGUGGCACAUGGGCUCUAGGGCGUGUGGGUUCAGUAGUUGCAGUGCAGGGGCUUAGUCCCUCCAUAUGUGGGAUCUUAGUUUCCUAAUUAGAGAUUUAACCCACCUCCCCUGUAUAUUGGAAGGCAGAUUCUUAGCCACUGGACAGCCAGGGAAGUCCCGAUCCAGGAUCUUCUGAUGAUCAUUUUAAAACUUGAAAUGGAAAGACAAAAUUGGAAAAAUUUCGUGGAACAGGAAAAAUGUGCCCUUCUCCCCUCUACCUCCAGAUUAGGAAACAACAUAGCAAAUCUUAAUCACGGAAGGGACCCCUUCUCUUAUUAAUAGUUAAGAAGACUAAGGUUCUGCCAGCUAAAGAAUGUCACUCACCAUCUGGCUCUGUAAGGAUUAAGUCAUUAGCCACUGCAGUCACUGACCUUCAACACACCUUGAAGGGAGUUCAGGGUGGAGAUCAGAAACAAGGCACUCUGUGCUCUGGAAAAAUUGGGAGAAUAGGACUUCAUACGGAUAUUUUCAGAUUCUAUGAACCUAGUUUCCUGCAUCUUUCCAUACUUAGCAAAACACUAAAAUCUUUAACUAAGAUACCUGUGCUUUGUCACCAGAAGCACCCCUCUACCAACGUGUGCUUGAUGCAUAUACCCCUUCUCCAAAAUCAUAGAUGUGCUAACUUCCCCCCCAACCUCUUCACAUCACUUCCUCAGAGCUGAGAGACUAUCUCAUUGAUUACAGUCCUCAGUAAGUCCCUGAAUAUAACAAACACAACUCUCACCUUUUUAUUUAUUCAUAUUAUUUCAUUUGGCAGUUCUCAGGUGACCAGUCCACAGUGCAACGAUUAAUUAAAGUAGCAGGAUGAAGGCUAAAGGUGCAGGAAAUCUCAUUUCGGGGUUUUCCAGUACAUACAAGCCUCACCCUUAACAUAUUUGUACUCAACAGCUAUUGUCAACAAAGAGUAUGUAGAUUUAUUCUGCAAUUCCAUGGACUAAAACUAGGUCAUGCCGGAACUCAAUUAACUCAAUUCCAACCCCUUCUAAGGGAAAACGUUCAAGUAAUACGUCAGAGUAUAAUUAAGGGAGAAAAGAUAACAUGAUACAAACACACAAGUGACAGAAACAGCGAAUACUUUGGUGGACAACACUCCCUUGACAAAACACUAAAUCGCAGCCGACGUUGCUAAAAAUAUAGAAAAUUUAAGACUUGCAUCAAUGACGGAUGGAAUUCUCCUCAGAAACAGGACUCACUCAGGCCUAAUCUAGCCAUGACCAACCCUAGAAUUGUCUGUGCCUUCCAGUACCAGCAGAGUUGUCCAGAGCACUCUUGCCAUAGCAAAAAACAAACAAACAAACAAACUUAAGUGGUACAAUGGCCUGGUCGCAGCCGUUGUCCGCUGCUUCUAGGAUGAGUAAACUACAACUCCCGUCAGACAACGCGAACUGAGGCGGGGCGGCUCUGACCAAUAACGAUUGUCGUUACAGCGAACAGUUUGGCCGCGUUUGUAAAAGGCCGCGGCAGGCGAAGAGAGAGGAGGUGAGGGCGGUCAUCAGCGUGGGAGCCCGGGGCCGCAGGGUGGGGGGCGCAGGGCAGGUCUAAAGGAGGUUAUUGUGCCCCAGUUAGGUUGCCAUUCAGAAUCACCAGUAUCAGCUUGUGAGUCUACUGCCUCUAAGCCAAA